CGCCUACGGGAGGCAGCAGUGAGGAAUAUUGGUCAAUGGGCGGAAGCCUGAACCAGCCAAGUCGCGUGAGGGAAUAAGGCCCUACGGGUCGUAAACCUCUUUUGCCGGGGAGCAAGGGCGGGGACGUGUCCCGGCCCGGAGAGUACCCGGAGAAAAAGCAUCGGCUAACUCCGUGCCAGCAGCCGCGGUAAUACGUAGGUGGCGAGCGUUAUCCGGAAUGAUUGGGCGUAAAGGGUGCGCAGGCGGUCCUGCAAGUCUGGAGUGAAACGCAUGAGCUCAACUCAUGCAUGGCUUUGGAAACUGGG
This 305-nucleotide ribosomal RNA is filed under the name uncultured bacterium. RNAcentral describes it as "bacterial SSU rRNA". It matches the Rfam family "Bacterial small subunit ribosomal RNA", at positions 336 to 637 of the family's 1533-position model. The record is from RNAcentral.